Molecule: long non-coding RNA, 851 nt
Organism: Chelonia mydas (Green sea turtle)
Lineage: Eukaryota; Metazoa; Chordata; Testudines; Cheloniidae
Exons: 5
Source: RefSeq, a predicted model, not a curated record
CUUCCUGGUUUUCUACCAGCCCCACCUGGGGCUCCAUCUGCAAUCAGCCUUUCAGUCCCUGGUUGUUCCUCAGGUGCAGCCUUUCAGAUGAACAGACCAGUGUAAAGAUCAACCUUUCUUAUAAACAGGACUACAUUCAGUAAUAAGAUCACUCCCGAAAAUGCAUUUCCACAAAGACACUCAGUGUUAAACUACAAAAGGGAUGGCUUUAGAGUUUUGGGGCCUUCAGAGGUCUUGGAUGCCACCCAAACUACAUCACAAUGUUGGCAUCUUUGAAGCAUAAAAGUACAUCAGUGCAAGAUAAUGCUGUUCCAAUGUUUUUUUCUUGCCUAAGAAGGGGUAAGGAGACCAUGAAGGGGUCGUGGUGGAACAGGAAUUCCUGGCAGAGCAACAGAGGCAACAUGGAGCUUGUCCUACCAGAAGAGGCUUUUUUUGUCAGGAGGUGCUGUGAGCUAUGAUGUAAGUGAGUCAUCAUAAACUAAAGGUUUUCUGAGGACUUUUCAAGUCCUUAAAACCAGCCCUGUUCUUCCAAUUAGUAAUUGGAGUGAGUUUAUCAUAGUGAAUGAAAUAAUGAAUAUGUGGCCUUCAUGAAAAGUGAUGUCAAAGAGUACUACUCCCAUGUAUAUGAGUUCCAUAAAAUAAGCAAAUUAACAUGUCUGAGAUUAAUGAAACAAGAGGCAGAUUAUUUAUUUUUUAUGGACUUUGUUUAACAAUUUAUAUCAAUCAGUUAUUCGAGAUCAGCUAUUUAUAAGAGUUCAGUUAAUAGCCAUGUUGUUCUGUCUUGUAAUUAGAGCUAUUCUGUUCCUGAGACAAAACCUGCAUCAAUUGUUUUUCAAAGUAAAAUCCAAUAA